CCUCUGCCCCAGAGUCUUCUGAGCUGUCCAUUUUCACAGACGUCAGUUGCCCUAGGUGGAACUGGACUUUAAUAUUCUCCACAUCCCUUAUUUUUUCCCAAAACAGUUUACCAGCUUUUUCUUUCCUGAACCAGGAGCAAUAGCAAAAAUUGGGAAUGGGAAGAAACAGGUACCAGCCAGGACACCUGAACCAACUUGGAGCUCAGGAACCCAGGAGGGGACUGGAAAGAGUGGGGAGACUCCGUGGUCCACAAUGAAUGCUCCUUCCCCAUCCAAAAAAAUCCCCUAGCCCAGUUUUUGGGCAGGUGCCAGACUUUUAUUCUGAAGCGUGGGCCACAACCUAUGAGGUAAUCUUUGGAGCUUCAUUCUGAGGCGGAAUCCCAUUGGCCAGUUGGGGAAGCUCCUCCCAGGAUUCCUGGCGCUCCGCCUUCCCCGAAGCCUAUAAAAGCGCAGGUCCCCGCCUCGGCAGCCGCGGGACACCUGCAUCUGCCAACAAGACUGGAAGCAGAGAGGGACAGAGACGGCGAAGUUUGACGGUCUGGAAAGCAGAGACCAGCAGGGCUGACUGCUUGGGAGGUAAGUUCUGGGGACAUGGUACAGGGUGAGGAGCAGGUAUCAGUGCUAGUUGCGACCCCUCUGUGUCUCCCCCCCGCCACCCCAUUGCCAUUCUGAAACUCCCCAGGAAGAAGCUAGGAGGGGAAAUAAAUUGAGUGGGGGUGGGGUUUCCCAAGAAUCGGAGGAACCGAGAACGAAGAGGGGUGGAGGAACCGGGAAAGAGAGAGAGGAAAAUCAAGUUUCCUUCAGCACGAGGGACAGCUCUCCACUGACCGAAGGAGGAGAAUGCUAUUUAUUUCAGCACCAAGUAUCCGGACAGCGCCUCUCGGGAGGUCCGAGAAGAGAACCGCGGUCUGUUUCAGCACCGGGGCUCAGGACAGUUCCCAGAGGGCUCCGUUUCGGCUCCAGAACCCUGGACAGCUCCCCCAGUAGAGACGGGGUUUCACCAUGUUGGCCAGGCUGGUCUCAAACUCUUGACCUCUUCAUCCGCCUGCCUCAGCCUCCCAAAGCGCUAGGAUUACAGGCGUGAGUCACUGCGCCUGGCCCAAGUCUGGAAUUUUCAACAGGACAUGGGUGUCACUGUGCCCACGUGACAUUUGGGGAACCCAAGGCCCUGAGAAAGGCAGAAAAAUAACCCACGCAGGGGCUCUCAGCCCACAAAUGAAGCUACCCUGUCUCUCUCCAGGAGAACCGGGAAUGGAAAACAGGGAGGCAGUACAGAGGCAGGAAACUCAGGUGUCACAGCUUGGCUCAGCCUCAGGGCUUUUGCCUUUGCUGUUCCUGCAGCUUGGAAUGCACUCCCUCCACCUCCACCCAGAGCUCCCCACAACUGACCCUGCUUUCUUCUGCAAGCUCCAUUUCAUCAAGGGAAACGAUCCUUAUUGCCUCACCAUUUCCCACAUGAAGUCUGUAUUGACAUUCUCAUAGACCUGGGAUAUUGUGUCUGCAGCACAUAGUCCAAUUAUUUUCAUGUUAUCUACUGACAGCUCUAUUUGUCUCCCUGUUACACUGUGAGCUCCGUGAGGGCAGAAACAAUGUUUGUAUUUUCACUGCUGUGUCCCCAGUGCCUGGUCCGGGGCCCGGCACACAGCAGGCAUAUAAUAAGCAUGUGUUGAAUCAAUAAAGGCAUCAAAGAAUAAACCAAUACAUCAAUCAAUA
This is an RNA transcript of Pongo pygmaeus (Bornean orangutan), 1713 nucleotides long. RefSeq lists it as uncharacterized. NCBI's taxonomy places the organism in Eukaryota, Metazoa, Chordata, Mammalia, Primates, Hominidae. The record is from RefSeq and is a predicted model, not a curated record. The transcript is spliced from 6 exons.